UGGUAUGGGAAAACUGGGGAAUGAUACCAUCGUUUCCUGUGAAAAACAGGAUGCAAAUGGACAUCCCUGCUCCCACUUAUCUGCUAGCAAGGUCGGGAAGAUGGGAACAAAGGAGUUUCUGCUGAGAUCCCAGAGCCAGGAGCUGCUGCUCCAAGGAGAGCUGACUCAGCUGCUUUGGACUUAUAAAUAAGUUUGUACUGUCAUUGAAAAGACAUCAUUGUCAAUGGAACAACAACACCCAAUGGCCCACCACUACUGAAGAUCAAUGACUGAACUGCGAUCCACGCUGGACCCAUGGUGGCUGCAGGACAGCAAAUGCACUCUUGAGUAGUAGAAGUGUCUGACUUUCACGUGCUACAGACCACAGCAACUUUUCCUUAUGUAGUGACCAGUGGUAUGCUGAAGAAGGCAUGGAGGACUUUGAAUUGGGUUUUGAAUUGGAUGCCACCCUGCUGUAUGCUGAAGGAAGUGUCAAAACAAGGAACAAGUGAAAAUGCAGACCUAAGAAGUGUGCAGAUUUUGCUCACCCACAGAAUGCCAUAUUGUUGCCAGACAAACUUCAGCCCAAAUAAAACUCCUUAACACCAAUAUAGUAUUAAGAAGCAGGCAUUACUUUUUAUUACAACACUGGAUACAUGGGGGAUAUUUCCACCAAAGUCAAUGGAAAAAAGGUACGUUGUUUAUCUACAUUUGUGUAAACCAUGUCUGUGCGUUUGGAGAGAGGUCUACAGUUGU
Long non-coding RNA from Tympanuchus pallidicinctus (lesser prairie-chicken), 735 nucleotides. RefSeq lists it as uncharacterized. Lineage: Eukaryota; Metazoa; Chordata; Aves; Galliformes; Phasianidae. The record is from RefSeq and is a predicted model, not a curated record. The transcript has 3 exons.